GAUGAACGCUGGCGGCGUGCUUAAUACAUGCAAGUCCAGCGAACGGACGAGAAGCUUGCUUUUCUGAUGUUAGCGGCGGACGGGUGAGUAACACGUGGAUAACCUACUUAUAAGACUGGGAUAACUUCGAGAAACCGGAGCUAAUACCGGAUAAUAUUUUGAACCGCAUGGUUCAAUAGUGAAAGACGGUCUUGCCGUCACUUAUAGACUGAUCCGCGCGGCAUUAGCUAUUUGGUAAGGUAACGGCUUACCAAGGCAACUAUGCAUAGCCGACCUGAGAGGGUGAUCGGCCACACUGGAACUGAGGCACGGUCCAGACUCCGACGGGAGGCAGCAGUAGGGAAUCUUGCGAAAUGGGCGAAAGCCUGACGGAGCAACGCCGCGUGAGUGAUGAAGGUCUUCGGAUCGUAAAACUCUGUUAUUAGGGAAGAACAUAUGUGUGAGUAACUGUACACAUCUUGACGGUACCUAUUCAGAAAGCCACGGCUAACUACGUG
RNAcentral lists this ribosomal RNA (497 nucleotides) under uncultured bacterium. RNAcentral describes it as "partial 16S ribosomal RNA". It matches the Rfam family "Bacterial small subunit ribosomal RNA", at positions 28 to 507 of the family's 1533-position model. The record is from RNAcentral.